Non-coding RNA from Pelobates cultripes (western spadefoot toad), 6857 nucleotides. Lineage: Eukaryota; Metazoa; Chordata; Amphibia; Anura; Pelobatidae. The record is from the annotation of a GenBank genome assembly.
AAAGGAACAGGAAGAAGACACAUAGAAGGUAAGCCAGAAAAGGAACCUUAAAAUUUUAUUUAUUUCUUUAAAAAAACUAAUUCUUCAAUUGAUAGUGUUAUGUAUUUAAGGGCUAUUGGUCUGGUCCACAUUGUGCAAGGAACGAUAUGUCUUUAAAGUUCUCCAUUAACAGUGCCACUUGUUUAUACGAUGUCACCAGACAGCUAGAGACAGACACAAGGAUUUGUAUAGUUAGUUUGUGAGAAUGCAGCUUCACAGAGAGAAAUUCAGAUCUGACCUUGGUCCUUGACUGAUUGAUUGCAGCAAUAGAUAAAGCUACACACCACUAGUCAUGGACCUGGUGAUAGUAUUCUAGAUCUAACAUUCUAAAAUGUGAUGGCAGUCCGGACACUGGAAACCCCCUGCCCAGGACUGCCACCACAACCACUUACACAUCUAUAGAGCUCCCAGUGCCUAGACUGCCACCACAACCACUUACACAUCUAUAGGGCUCCCAUUGCUAGGAUUGCCACCACAACCACUUACACAUCUAUAGGUCUCCCAGUGCCAGGAUUGCCAUCACAACCACUUACACAUCUAUAGGGCUCCUAGUGCUAGGAUUGCCACCACAACCACUUACACAUCUAUAGGGCUCCUAGUGCCCGGACUGCAACCACAACCACUUACACAUCUAUUCUUUAGGGCUCCCAGUGCCAGGACUGCUACUACAAGUACUUACACAUCUGUAGGGCUCCCAGUGCCAGAAUUGCCACACAACCACUUACACAUCGAUAGAGCUCUCAGUGUCUGGACUGCCACCACAACCACUUACACAUCUAUAGGUCUCCCAGUGCCAGAAUUGCUACCACAACCACUUACACAUCUAUAGGGCUCCUAGUGCCCGGAGUGCCACCACAACCACUUAUACAUCUAUUCUAUAGGGCUCCCAGUGACAGGACUGCCACCACAACUACUUACACAUCUGUAGGGCUCCCAGUGCCCUGACUGCCAAAACAACCACUUACACAUGUAUAGAGCUGCCAGUGCUCAGACUGCCACCACAACCACUUAAUAUAUAUGUGCAAUUCGUUUCAUGCAAUUUGGACAUUUGAAUGCUUACGAAUUGCCAAAGUUCGAUAGUUCGGAAGUGCCGAACUGAAUGCCAUUGGUCCGAACUGCCGAAGCAGACACAUUUUUUUACUUACCCAAAUUUCUGAACCGAACGGAACCAAAUUUGUUGCCCAUGCACAUCCCUAAUAUUCAGUUCUUGAGAAUUGUUUUCAUAGCCCACCUCUGACUACUGCUUUAUCAGAACUUUAUACCAAAUGUGGUUUGAAAACUCCUUGUCAUGCUGUAUAUUUGGGAUUUCAAACCAAAUGCAUCUGCUUUACAGAUCAUAAUCCUGCAGCGUGUCUAAACAUACAGCAUGACAAGGGCUUUUUGUAGGUGCAUUUACUUUGAAAUUCCAAUCGACAAUAUAAUACAUUUUAUCUCUAAAAGUAAUUUUUUUCAAUGUUGUAUAUGGCAGCUUGUUGUACUAUUCCCAACUUUAAAGAAACACUAUAGCGUUAGUAUACAAAUGUGUAUAUUCUUAACGCUAUAGUGCCCUAGUCACUGUUUAGGUGUCCAGGCCCCUGCUGCCACAGUAUGACAGCCACUAGAGGUAAGCUAAUCCUGCAAUGAACAGGAGUGUUUCAGCUGCACGGUUAAAAGAGUGUGCUGGGGGAGCAAGGCACACAGACCAUUUAAUUGAUCAUCACAAGUCACUGUUCUGAAUUCUAGCAGUAUUCUUAUUGACUGAAAUCACCUAUUUGCAAUGGGUCAGUAAGGUUUUUUUUUUUUUGUCUGUUUCCUUCUUUCCCUUCAGUUUCCAUUAGAAUGGCAAUAUUAACAAGGCCAAUUGCGCUAAUGCGCAUGUUCAAUGCUUCUGUAAUAGGACUGGGAAUUCACAUAGAACGCUCAUUUUCCCUCAUUUUCUUCAAAUAGCCAUUGUCACUGUUGGUGGUAACUGGCACCAGCUUUUAAUGUUGCAGGAAGAAGGGAGAAAAUUCAGUGAUCCCGACUAAACUCGAAUGAAUGAAUUAUCUCAGCUGCCAUGUAAUAUCAGUCAUGCAAUAAUAUUUAUCACAUUACAGCUCAAUACAAGAGUGUUGGUUGAAAAAUUCACAUGGGGUAUAUCAACCAUGUCACUGUUGUAUGGUGCUAUGUGUCAUUGAGAGAGAUUGUAAAUCUCAUCUGACUAUGCCAACGAUGGUUGCAUGUAACGUAUCCAGACUGUGCUAAAUUUUCUAGAUAAAUUGGAUCACUUCCACGUUGUGCAAUUAGCAAUAAGGAUAUCAAUGAAAGCAUUUCUACCCCAGAUAGAAUGUUACAUUUGCAGAAUAAGAGUGAGAAGGAAAAAAAUAAAUGUCAAGGAAAAGCAGAAUGUUGAGGGAUACAGAAAUCAAGAAAAUAAUGAAGAGCUACCAAAUCUUACAUAGAAUCUGAACAUUUUCUCCUGGGUUUUUGAAGUAGUCUAUGGUGAGGUAUGUUCAGUGUGUUUGGAACUUUGUAUUUUUAUUAAAUCUCAUGGACAAAAAAUUCAUUAUAAGCAAGACUGUAUGUAGUUAAUGAACUCCUAAAUAUUGUUCCAAAAGGUCUUCUAUAUCUUUAUAUGUAUGAUGGACUUUUGAAGGCCCUUUUUAAACCCAUAAUUGAAGCUUGGUAUCAAUAGAGCGUACUGUCCGGGCAAUAUCUCCACCAUUUUUCUCUUUAUUUUUUCUCCAUCAUUUCCUUUUCAGAAAUACUAGUCUCUCACUACACCAUUGCUCAAAAUCCUGUUCGGUAAAAUGUUUAUUGAAAGGUAAAAUUCAGGACAUUUGAUUAGACCCAUUCCACAGCUUUUACAUAAAUUUAAAAUCUCUGUGAGUUUCCAAACUGAUCUAAAAUUCAUUCAUAUUACUGACCCCAAAACAUGAUUUAUUUUGUCCUAUUAAAAAGCAAAUAAAAGGUCAUAUGCAUGUUAGGGGGAUUCAAGCUACUAAAAGGCAGGUCAAAGAUUGACAUGAAACAUAUGUUUAGGGAGUUACUCACGUUCUGUCAAUUUGCAUAAAUCCAGAGACUGAAACCUGCAGUUGUUAAUUUGACCAAAUGAAGGACUGCAUUAAAGGAAAAAUCAGGCCAGUUUUGUUACAAAUGAACCAUGGGUUGCAAGAUUUUGAUGACAUUUCCAUUAUUAUAUGUUUUCUAUAGUUCGUUUUAGCAAGUGUCAAUUUUUGGUAUCUCUGGGAAUAAGAUAGGACUUGGUUUAAUUUUUUUGGAUCAACAUCAGAAAUGAUCACAAUUCUGUUAUAAAAUAAUUUCAAAUGAUUUAUCUACAGAAAACACCAUUAAAUAUUAGCAAGGUUAUUCACUAAAGUCCAAAUGACCAAACUUCAUUGAAAGGCUUUAUUUCCAGGAUGAAUUCAGUCUGGGCCCGGAGGCUUCAACUCCCUGUCUAGAGUAAAAAAAAAUGUUAACUAUUUGCCUGCUGGCCCCGGCUAAUUAAAAAUAGGAGUGGUAGACAUAUCAUUCUCCACCCCCCCCAAUGAAAAAGGUCAGCAAGACCAUGCUAAUGUCACCACAAAAUGUUGUGUCUUUUUCAGUUAAAUGUAUACAGUGCAUGAUCCCUGAUCUCACUUUUGAGAAUCUGGGCUCAAUGGUUCAAAUUAGAUUUGGAUAUUUGUUUUGGACUGAAUUCAUUCUGAUGAAGUGUUCUGUCGAAUUUCUGAAUUCCGAGACCAAACAUAAUGAAUUAUGAACUAACUGAACCAUGCAAUGCCGAAGAUAUUCAGGAGUUGGGUCAAUGUUCCGAAUUUCACCCAUGUCAACAAAAAAGAAAAAGAUGAUUAAUGGGAAAAAAUAGAUUAUUAAAUAAUAGGGGACAGUCACUAAAUGUGGACUUAUUUUUACAGUUAAAGUGAUAAAUGGGUAAUAGAGGGAAAACCAAGAGGAACAGUUAAAAAAUGUAUUUAUAUAUUCAUAUAUUAUAUAUAAAUAUAGAAAGAAAUUUCAAUAAUUUUUAAAAAAAAAAUUUUUUUUUGUCGUGCAGGUAAGUACAUUGCAGGAUCAAACGCCUGAGUAUGAGUAUGGCAUGAGUAUAUGCACAUUUUUUUUGUUUUUGAGACGCACAAACAAGCUUAGCCUAUCAUAUGAGUAUUCCUAAUAAAAUGUUGUAUACCUGUAGAGUAAAAGUGAGAUCCAAAAGAGUUAUGUAGGUGGAGUCUUGCUGAGCAUAAAAUAAUAAUGAGUAACACAUAAGGUUAACUUUAAGCUCAGGCAAUAAGAGAUCAUCCUGUUUUCUGUGCUUGCUAUAUUGUGAAAGUGAUGUAUAGACUUAAGCCUUUCGUAACAUUGCUAGUUAGUCAGGUGUGCCUUUGUAUUGUUUCUCGUGGGAGUAGCAUCUGGGUUGCCCCUUCGUAGCAUAGUAUGUGAGUAUAAAAAUGUAUGCAUUCAGAGAAAUAUUAAAAACAUAAACAAUAUAAACAUGUGAUUGGUGUCAACAGUGACAGGUUUGUAGGUUUAGUACACAGGAUCUCUUUGGUGAUCUCUGUGAUUUGUGAGCAUGUGUCCCUGGGAAGUAUCCCUUAGGAGUGGGGGUGAUGUUCUCAGGGUGACUUGGCCCCUUUAGCCAACAUCUCGACUUGACAUGGGGGGGCCCCGAGUAUUUAAGAUUGUUAGUCUUACAGAAUGCAUAUUCUGGGUCGAUGUAGUGAGGAUGUGGUCUGAUGGUCUGUUGGCUCGUUUUGAGUACCCCUCCACAUGAAAGGGGGAAAAGGAGGGAGGGGAAGAAGGGUACCCUGGUCUUUGCUAGUGUGAGGUAUGGUCCGGGUGCGGUUUACAUGGGUCCUUUUUGUGCCUGGGUGUAUUCAUAGUGGCCAUGGUGGGUCCUGUGGUCAUGUCUACAGUGGGUGGCCUGUCGGAUCCAAGUCUACACAAGUUUUAUACCGUGUCAGUCUAUGGUGUGUAUGGUCUGGGGUGUACGUGUGCCCCCGGUGGAGGAGUAUCUAAGAGUGACAUUAAUGGCAUGGCAGGGUAACAUCAAUGUGAGAGAGAAAUGUUAACAUACAUAAUUAAAUAAAAUUAGUGAAUAUUUAGAGUCAUCUAAGAAAGAAAAAAAAAAACAUCUCUUGUCGUGAGGAGAGUUAAUGCCUGUCUCUGCAGGCAAACUGGGGCGCUCAAGUGGUGUCAGCUUCCCGGUCAUCUUGUCGUGCUCCCCGAGGUAUGAAGGGACGUGCUGUUGUCGGGUUCCAGGCAUGAGGUAGGGAGGGUGUCAUAUUCGAUCGUGCUGUUACUAGGGCAUCUAUAAGUAGCCCCAACGUUGGUAAUAGGUUGGUUGCCUCCCGGAGAUCUCUGAUGGUAUGAGUGUUGGUGCCGUGUUGUAUCUCCAGCACUCAUUGCAGUCGCCAUUGGUAUGUGAGGCCAUUAGAUCGGAGUAGCACCGUGAAGGGCUUGAGUGAUCUUCUCCACGACAUGGUGCUCCCAGACAGGUCUGCAUAGAACGACAGUUGCAUGCCUUCGAAGGGGUAUGGUGAGUUGUUCCGGACUGCAUUUGUGAGAGCUAGUUUAUCCUUGCAGCUUUGGAAUUUCACUAAGAGAUCCCUCGGUGCUGAUGGUGGUGCUUUCACUGGUUUGUGAAGGUGGAACAGCCCCUCCACUCCAACCUGUUUAGCUUGCUUUGGGGUUAUCAGCAAUGCAAGAAGUCGCCGUAGGAGGUGUGGCAGCUCUGUCUCCGUGAUCCCCUCCGAUAUAACCCUAAUCUUGAGGUUCGACCUGCGCCUCUGAUCUUCCAGCUCUGCAAACUUUUUAUCCAUUUUUGUUUGUUGGGUUUGUAGCUCUUGCACAGACUUUUGGAGUUGGGUCGUUUGUUGGAUGUUUUUCUGGGUGUUGCUUUCUAUAGCUCCCAUGCGGGUCGUUGGGCCUUGCAGGUCCCCUCGGAGCUGGGCCAUGUCGGCCUGGAUUGUAUGUUGGAGCUCCGCUAGCAGGCCUUUCAUGAUCGCCGUCGUCACCGGGUCUAGAGUCUAGAUGAGGGGUGGUAAGUUUAUGAGCUCUCUGCUCGUGUGCUUGACCCUCUGGUAUUUCCAGUGAGAAAUUCUCAGAGAUCUCGGAGUCAUCUGAGUAGUCGGCCAUGUUAGGUUCUGCUCCACUCUGUGCCUUGCGCCAUAAGUCGCCAAUAUUCAUGCCCAUACUUGAAUUUUCUGGUCUUGGCUUUUUGUUUUUUCUCCCCAUAUUGUGAGGGUCUGUUCCAGGGUCGGUUUGGCAGAUUUUGGGGUGUAAGAGACCUCUUUAUUCGCUUGUUAAUGUGCUUAUCAGCCUGGAGCUCGGACAGCAUGCGGCCAUUCAGCUCCGUUGCUUGGCUCCGCCCCUAGAAAGAAAUUUUAAUGCUCCUCUUUUUCUGUCUGUUGGUUACUUUUACUUACCUAAUCUGCAAACUAAAUGGUGGGAAUAUGCUCCUAUCAGUGCUAAUAUUUUGUUUUGUCAAACUGCAUUAAUACAUUACUUCCCAUACCAAUAGUUAAUCAAAUUAUGGAAGCCAUUUGUUUUUUGCAAAUAACUUGGUAGUGAAGAAGUUACGCAAUGUACCAAAUGUUUUUCAGAUUUUUAGUAAAAAUGAUAUCUGUGUAUUAUUAAAUAUUCUAUUUUCUUUUCAGACCAUUGAAUAUGGGCUACCAAUCAACCUAAUGCCUGACUUUUUUAAAUGCCCAUAAAAUGGAGAUUCUUGUUUGGUUCAGAGAACUUGGCAUGUUGAUUCAUGUUCUGCCAUCAUUAAUAAUAUUUUCUUAUAGCUACCUACCAGCUGUUACCACACAAGGUUAUUUUCCAAAACUUGAGAACAUUGGAGCUUUUGUUCCUGUUGCCAC